Molecule: ribosomal RNA, 526 nt
Filed under: uncultured bacterium
Lineage: Bacteria
Description: bacterial SSU rRNA
Rfam family: Bacterial small subunit ribosomal RNA
Source: RNAcentral
AGAGUUUGAUCCUGGCUCAGAACGAACGCUGGCGGCGCGCCUAAUACAUGCAAGUCGAACGAGAAUGUGUAGCAAUACACAUGUACAGUGGCGAACGGGUGAGGAAUACAUGGGUAACCUACCCUCGAGUGGGGAAUAACUAGCCGAAAGGUUAGCUAAUACCGCGUACGCUUCCCGGACUGCGGUUCGGGAAGGAGAGCGAUACCGUGGGUAUCGCGCUCUUGGAUGGGCUCAUGCCCUAUCAGCUUGUUGGUGAGGUAACGGCUCACCAAGGCUUCGACGGGUAGCUGAUCUGAGAGGAUGAUCAGCCACACUGGCACUGCGACACGGGCCAGACUCCUACGGGAGGCAGCAGUAAGGAAUAUUGCGCAAUGGGCGAAAGCCUGACGCAGCGACGCCGCGUGGGGGAUGAAGGUCUUCGGAUUGUAAACCCCUUUCGGGAGGGAAGAUGGGAUGGGGUAACCCAUUCGGACGGUACCUCCAGAAGCAGCCACGGCUAACUUCGUGCCAGCCGCCGCGGUAAUAC